AUUGAACGCUGGCGGCAUGCCUUACACAUGCAAGUCGAACGGCAGCACGGGGCAACCUGGUGGCGAGUGGCGAACGGGUGAGUAAUGCAUCGGAACGUGCCAUUGAGUGGGGGAUAACGUAGCGAAAGUUGCGCUAAUACCGCAUAUUCUGUGAGCAGGAAAGCAGGGGACCGCAAGGCCUUGCGCUCUUUGAGCGGCCGAUGUCAGAUUAGCUAGUUGGUGAGGUAACGGCUUACCAAGGCGACGAUCUGUAGCGGGUCUGAGAGGAUGAUCCGCCACACUGGAACUGAGACACGGUCCAGACUCCUACGGGAGGCAGCAGUGGGGAAUUUUGGACAAUGGGCGCAAGCCUGAUCCAGCCAUGCCGCGUGAGUGAAGAAGGCCUUCGGGUUGUAAAGCUCUUUCGGCCGGGAAGAAAUCGCAUGGGCCAAUACCCUGUGUGGAUGACGGUACCGGAAUAAGAAGCACCGGCUAACUACGUGCCAGCAGCCGCGGUAAUACGUAGGGUGCGAGCGUUAAUCGGAAUUACUGGGCGUAAAGCGUGCGCAGGCGGUUUUGUAAGACAGGCGUGAAAUCCCCGGGCUUAACCUGGGAACUGCGCUUGUGACUGCAAGGCUAGAGUACGGCAGAGGGGGGUG
RNAcentral lists this ribosomal RNA (638 nucleotides) under uncultured bacterium. Its description in RNAcentral is "bacterial SSU rRNA". It matches the Rfam family "Bacterial small subunit ribosomal RNA", at positions 28 to 663 of the family's 1533-position model. The record is from RNAcentral.